AUAUUUACACUGAAAACAAGGGAAUUUAAUUAGGCGUAUUUUUGCAGUGUGGUGUCAAACUAAUUGAAAUUCACCAGCAGACGGAUGAAAACAGCCACAUGAUAUCAAAUAAUUUGGGGAUCUAUCACGAUUAGUGUAUGCCCCCCCAAGAAAAAAAAAAUUAAAGGGAAACACCCUUUUUUUUGUUGACCACACUUUGAAUUUAGUAAAAUUGGUUCGGGCCGCACCCUCGACAUAAUUUUUAACCCUACAAAAAAAAAGGAAAUGCCUACGUCACAUGACGUAACCCCGCCCACUUCUUGUCUUCUGGCGGCGGACAUAUAAAAACAGCCAUCCAUCCAUCCGCCUGCAGCUUACCCGGUAACACCAUCGAUGCCGGCUCAGAUAUUGAAAAUAUAUUUUGAAAAAAAUAUUUAAAAAAAAAAAAAAAAACACACAAGAAGAAGAAAGAAAAUCUGGUCGCUCAUCCAGAUGUCGCAUCAUCUCCACUAUACACUACACACACAAAAAAACGCGUCCAUAUCUAAACGUGCGUUGACGUCUCGACGCCAUCCCGACGUGAACGCAACGCGGGGAGCAGCACAAUCAAAAUGUCAAGCGUCAAAUGUUUACCAUCGCGUCGUCAGCUUGCUGAGAUUUGACCACCACAAAAAUUUGAAAAUGGUCAAAAAAAUACCAGAGUGUCGGCAGAGUAACCACGGAGGCGGGAAUUGUGAGGCGGCGAGUGCCGAGUGGAAGACUAGUGAUUUUGUUGCGAUGCUCGUCAAAAA
This is a long non-coding RNA of Corythoichthys intestinalis (scribbled pipefish), 770 nucleotides long. RefSeq lists it as uncharacterized. The transcript has 3 exons. NCBI's taxonomy places the organism in Eukaryota, Metazoa, Chordata, Actinopteri, Syngnathiformes, Syngnathidae. The record is from RefSeq and is a predicted model, not a curated record.